Molecule: long non-coding RNA, 767 nt
Organism: Labeo rohita (rohu)
Lineage: Eukaryota; Metazoa; Chordata; Actinopteri; Cypriniformes; Cyprinidae
Exons: 3
Source: RefSeq, a predicted model, not a curated record
UUUUACUGUACAGGCACACAACUUCAAGCUACAAAAAUAUAAAACUAUUGAAAAAAGACAAAUAAUUUAUGUAAUGUGACACUUGUCUCAAAAGCGUACAUCUUAUAUGAGAGAUACAACUUAUUGCCUUCGUGUUUCUCAGAUACUGCCUUCGUGCCUCGUCCUCUGUGCUCCAAAUUAGUGAUGGGUCGUUCUUGAACGAUUCGUUCAUUUUGAACGAAUCUUUAAUGUGACUCGGGACGAAAGAGUCGCCUCGGGGAGUGAUUCGUUCAGUCGCGCAUGCGCAACAUCCUAUUAGGUUCUGUACCGGAAUUAGUUCACCUGUUUUAGAGUCGUUCGUUCACCUUAUGGGGCUGUCACGUGAUGAACGAACGACUCAAACCCGAAGACUCAAAAGAUGAACUAAUCAAUUCUCCUUCCGGCUCAGGCUGCAUAGGUUAACAUUACAGGGCUGUCACGUGAUGAACGAACGACUCAAACCCGAAGACUCAAAAGAUGAACUAAUCAAUUCUCUUUCCGGCUCAGGCUGCAUAGGUUAACAUUACGGGGAUGUCACGUGAUGAACGAACGACUCAAACCCGAGGACUCGAGAGAUGAACUAAUCAAUUCUCUUUCCGGCUCAGACUGCGUUGGUUAGCUAAUUGGGCUGUCACGUGAUGAACAAACAACUCCAAUCCGAAAACCUGUCAGAUAAGAGGCGAGGUGAGCGAAUCAUAGACUAAAGACCCAGGUAAACAAUGAAUGAAUCUUUUUUUGUUUCUUAUAGC